AUUGAACGCUGGCGGCAUGCUUUACACAUGCAAGUCGAACGGUAACAGGUUAAGCUGACGAGUGGCGAACGGGUGAGUAAUGCAUCGGAACGUGCCCGGUCGUGGGGGAUAACGCAGCGAAAGCUGCGCUAAUACCGCAUACGAUCUGAGGAUGAAAGCGGGGGACCGUAAGGCCUCGCGCGAUCGGAGCGGCCGAUGUCAGAUUAGGUAGUUGGUGGGGUAAAGGCUCACCAAGCCGACGAUCUGUAGCGGGUCUGAGGGGAUGAUCCGCCACACUGGGACUGAGACACGGCCCAGACUCCUACGGGAGGCAGCAGUGGGGAAUUUUGGACAAUGGGCGCAAGCCUGAUCCAGCCAUGCCGCGUGCGGGACGAAGGCCUCGGUUGUAAG
Molecule: ribosomal RNA, 390 nt
Filed under: uncultured bacterium
Lineage: Bacteria
Description: bacterial SSU rRNA
Rfam family: Bacterial small subunit ribosomal RNA
Source: RNAcentral